Hipposideros armiger (great roundleaf bat) is the source of this 400-nucleotide long non-coding RNA. RefSeq lists it as uncharacterized. The record is from RefSeq and is a predicted model, not a curated record. NCBI's taxonomy places the organism in Eukaryota, Metazoa, Chordata, Mammalia, Chiroptera, Hipposideridae. The transcript is spliced from 3 exons.
UCCUGCCACCAACUGCUCGAUGUCCGCGUGCCAAUCCAAUUUGAACGCCUGUGAUUCACCCAAGAGAGGGCUUAUUUUAACUUCAUCAAGCACAGAGAAAAACAUCCAGGCUGAAAUGCACUGAACCCCUCUUCUCCACCAGGCCCUGUGCUGGGUGCUUGGGACAGAUGGGAAUCCCGGCUGACCCCUGACCUCACACAGUACCAUGUGGACCAUGUCAGCGUGAGGAUGGGUGACUCUCGGGCUGCAGGGACAGUGCAAUGACAGAGCUGCCCAGAAAUAGCUGCCUGCAAAUGACAAGCAGCCUUUGGAGGUAGCUGUUAUCUCUAUUGGACAGCCGAGAAACAGCUUCAGAGUCAAGAGGACUUGCUCAACGCAAGGAGGUGGGUGUGUCUGUCUC